GGGGGCGAUUUGGAUUCGACGCCGGUUACAAAACCCUGGGUGCAUGCCGAGAUGGCGACCAAUCUCGUAAAUCCAAAGUCGCAAAUUAUAGUUGCCAACGACGACAACUACGCACUCGCCGCUUAAUACCCGGUAGGGUGCCAUCUGACCGGAGCCGUGCUUGUGCGUCCGGAGCCUUUCGGGGCUAUCAGGUGUCAUAUCUCACAUGAUCGCGAUGAAGCUCGUCCGGGGUGGAUUCGUUAAAAACUCACCGGAAUCGCGGUUUGCGCGCCCUGUCUGUCGGGUUGCAACCCGCUAAAUUUAAUAGACUGNACUAAGCAUGUAGAUCCCUCGGCAGAGGACUGACGGACGCGGGUUCAAUUCCCGCCGCCUCCACCA
This 378-nucleotide transfer-messenger RNA is filed under the name Porticoccaceae. RNAcentral's name for it is "Porticoccus sp002707685 Standard tmRNA". It matches the Rfam family "transfer-messenger RNA". From Rfam's summary of the family: Bacterial tmRNA, also known as 10Sa RNA or SsrA, is named for its dual tRNA and mRNA-like properties. Its role is to liberate the mRNA from a stalled ribosome. Lineage: Bacteria; Pseudomonadati; Pseudomonadota; Gammaproteobacteria; Cellvibrionales. RNAcentral also lists the same sequence under 1 other name. The record is from RNAcentral.